RNAcentral lists this long non-coding RNA (256 nucleotides) under Mytilus galloprovincialis (Mediterranean mussel). The record is from RNAcentral. Lineage: Eukaryota; Metazoa; Mollusca; Bivalvia; Mytilida; Mytilidae.
GGCAUUCAAAGAUAAGAAUCUUUGGCAGGCGGCGUCACAAAUUUAUACUUGUCCGUAUGGUCAUCUGGAGAAUGAUUUGUCGAGCGGAGCCGAGUCUCAGAAUUGAGUUCAGUGUGAGAUGUUGGACAAGUUGAUGUACGGGCUGCUGUUGUUGGUGAUUUACAUAAUCUACCACUAAAUGCCAGAAAUAUGAACGGGUUGGCACAGCUGUUUAAUCCGGUAAGUAACAGUAUGAUAGUCAUGGCGGCUCCUGUAA